AGUGAACGCUGGCGGUAGGCCUAACACAUGCAAGUCGAACGGCAGCACAGUAAGAGCUUGCUCUUACGGGUGGCGGGUGGCGGACGGGUGAGGAAUACAUCGGAAUCUACUUUUUCGUGGGGGAUAACGUAGGGAAACUUACGCUAAUACCGCAUACGACCUACGGGUGAAAGCAGGGGAUCUUCGGACCUUGCGCGAUUGAAUGAGCCGAUGUCGGAUUAGCUAGUUGGCGGGGUAAAGGCCCACCAAGGCGGCGAUCCGUAGCUGGUCUGAGAGGAUGAUCAGCCACACUGGAACUGAGACACGGUCCAGACACCUACGGGAGGCAGCAGUGGGGAAUAUUGGACAAUGGGCGCAAGCCUGAUCCAGCCAUACCGCGUGGGUGAAGAAGGCCUUCGGGUUGUAAAGCCCUUUUGUUGGGAAAGAAAAGCAGCAGGUUAAUACCCCGCUGUUCUGACGGUACCCAAAGAAUAAGCACCGGCUAACUUCGUG
Molecule: ribosomal RNA, 492 nt
Filed under: uncultured bacterium
Lineage: Bacteria
Description: partial 16S ribosomal RNA
Rfam family: Bacterial small subunit ribosomal RNA
Source: RNAcentral